UACGGAGGAUGCGAGCGUUAUCCGGAUUCAUUGGGUUUAAAGGGUGCGUAGGCGGCCCGGUAAGUCAGCGGUGAAAGUUUGCGGCUCAACCGUAAAAUUGCCGUUGAUACUGUCGGGCUUGAGUUCAGAUGAAGUGGGCGGAAUGAGUAGUGUAGCGGUGAAAUGCUUAGAUAUUACUCAGAACACCGAUUGCGAAGGCAGCCCACUAAACUGCGACUGACGCUGAUGCACGAAAGCGUGGGGAUCGAACAGG
This 253-nucleotide ribosomal RNA is filed under the name uncultured bacterium. RNAcentral's name for it is "partial 16S ribosomal RNA". It matches the Rfam family "Bacterial small subunit ribosomal RNA", at positions 524 to 776 of the family's 1533-position model. The record is from RNAcentral. RNAcentral also lists the same sequence under 1 other name.